This 372-nucleotide ribosomal RNA is filed under the name uncultured organism. RNAcentral's name for it is "bacterial SSU rRNA". It matches the Rfam family "Bacterial small subunit ribosomal RNA", at positions 526 to 896 of the family's 1533-position model. The record is from RNAcentral.
CGUAGGGUGCGAGCGUUAAUCGGAAUUACUGGGCGUAAAGCGUGCGCAGGCGGUUGUGUAAGACAGGCGUGAAAUCCCCGGGCUCAACCUGGGAACUGCGCUUGUGACUGCACGGCUAGAGUACGGCAGAGGGGGGUGGAAUUCCACGUGUAGCAGUGAAAUGCGUAAAGAUGUGGAGGAACACCAAUGGCGAAGGCAGCCCCCUGGGUCGAUACUGACGCUCAUGCACGAAAGCGUGGGUAGCAAACAGGAUUAGAUACCCUGGUAGUCCACGCCCUAAACGAUGUCAACUAGGUGUUGGGAGGGUAAAACCUUUUAGUACCGGAGCUAACGCGUGAAGUUGACCGCCUGGGGAGUACGGCCGCAAGGUUA